RNAcentral lists this ribosomal RNA (252 nucleotides) under uncultured bacterium. RNAcentral describes it as "partial 16S ribosomal RNA". It matches the Rfam family "Bacterial small subunit ribosomal RNA", at positions 524 to 776 of the family's 1533-position model. The record is from RNAcentral.
UACGAAGGGGCUAGCGUUGCUCGGAAUCACUGGGCGUAAAGGGUGCGUAGGCGGGUCUUUAAGUCAGGGGUGAAAUCCUGGAGCUCAACUCCAGAACUGCCUUUGAUACUGAAGAUCUUGAGUCCGGGAGAGGUGAGUGGAACUGCGAGUGUAGAGGUGAAAUUCGUAGAUAUUCGCAAGAACACCAGUGGCGAAGGCGGCUCACUGGCCCGGUUCUGACGCUGAGGCGCGAAAGCGUGGGGAGCAAACAGG